This 425-nucleotide ribosomal RNA is filed under the name uncultured Brevundimonas sp. Its description in RNAcentral is "bacterial SSU rRNA". It matches the Rfam family "Bacterial small subunit ribosomal RNA", at positions 354 to 796 of the family's 1533-position model. Lineage: Bacteria; Pseudomonadati; Pseudomonadota; Alphaproteobacteria; Caulobacterales; Caulobacteraceae. The record is from RNAcentral.
GUGGGGAAUCUUGCGCAAUGGGCGAAAGCCUGACGCAGCCAUGCCGCGUGAAUGAUGAAGGUCUUAGGAUUGUAAAAUUCUUUCACCGGGGACGAUAAUGACGGUACCCGGAGAAGAAGCCCCGGCUAACUUCGUGCCAGCAGCCGCGGUAAUACGAAGGGGGCUAGCGUUGCUCGGAAUUACUGGGCGUAAAGGGCGCGUAGGCGGAUCGUUAAGUCAGGGGUGAAAUCCCAGAGCUCAACUCUGGAACUGCCUUUGAUACUGGCGAUCUUGAGUAUGAGAGAGGUAUGUGGAACUCCGAGUGUAGAGGUGAAAUUCGUAGAUAUUCGGAAGAACACCAGUGGCGAAGGCGACAUACUGGCUCAUUACUGACGCUGAGGCGCGAAAGCGUGGGGAGCAAACAGGAUUAGAUACCCCUGUAGUCC